AGUCAACGCUGGCGGCGUGCCUCAGACAUGCAAGUCGAACGCGAAAGGCCCCUUCGGGGGCCCGGUAGAGUGGCGCACGGGUGAGUAACACGUAGGUAAUUUGCCUUCGGGUGGGGAAGUAACAGCCGGAACGGACUGCUAAUACCGCAUAAUGCAGCGGCUCGACAUCGAGACAGUUGUUAAAGCGGGGGAGUCGCAAGACCUCGCGCCUGAAGAGAAGCCUGCGGCAGAUAGCUUGUUGGUGAGGUAAUGGCUCACCAAGGCGACGAUCUGUAACCGGCCUGAGAGGGCGGUCGGUCACACUGACACUGACAUACGGGUCAGACUCCUACGGGAGGCAGCAGUCGGGAAUUUUGGGCAAUGGGCGAAAGCCUGACCCAGCAACGCCGCGUGAAGGAUGAAAUCUCUCGGGAUGUAAACUUCGCAAAGAACGGGAAGAAUAAGUUUGGGAUAAUACCCGAAUGAUGACGGUUACCGUUUGUAAGCUCCGGCUAACUCCGUGCCAGCCGCCGCC
RNAcentral lists this ribosomal RNA (514 nucleotides) under uncultured bacterium. RNAcentral describes it as "bacterial SSU rRNA". It matches the Rfam family "Bacterial small subunit ribosomal RNA", at positions 32 to 519 of the family's 1533-position model. The record is from RNAcentral.